GGCGUGCCUAAUACAUGCAAGUCGAGCGGACCGACGGGAGCUUGCUCCCUUAGGUCAGCGGCGGACGGGUGAGUAACACGUGGGUAACCUGCCUGUAAGACUGGGAUAACUCCGGGAAACCGGGGCUAAUACCGGAUGCUUGAUUGAACCGCAUGGUUCAAUCAUAAAAGGUGGCUUUUAGCUACCACUUACAGAUGGACCCGCGGCGCAUUAGCUAGUUGGUGAGGUAACGGCUCACCAAGGCGACGAUGCGUAGCCGACCUGAGAGGGUGAUCGGCCACACUGGGACUGAGACACGGCCCAGACUCCUACGGGAGGCAGCAGUAGGGAAUCUUCCGCAAUGGACGAAAGUCUGACGGAGCAACGCCGCGUGAGUGAUGAAGGUUUUCGGAUCGUAAAACUCUGUUGUUAGGGAAGAACAAGUACCGUUCGAAUAGGGCGGCACCUUGACGGUACCUAACCAGAAAGCCACGGCUAACUACGUGCCAGCAGCCGCGGUAAUACGUAGGUGGCAAGCGUUGUCCGGAAUUAUUGGGCGUAAAGCGCGCGCAGGCGGUUUCUUAAGUCUGAUGUGAAAGCCCCCGGCUCAACCGGGGAGGGUCAUUGGAAACUGGGGAACUUGAGUGCAGAAGAGGAGAGUGGAAUUCCACGUGUAGCGGUGAAAUGCGUAGAGAUGUGGAGGAACACCAGUGGCGAAGGCGACUCUCUGGUCUGUAACUGACGCUGAGGCGCGAAAGCGUGGGGAGCGAACAGGAUUAGAUACCCUGGUAGUCCACGCCGUAAACGAUGAGUGCUAAGUGUUAGAGGGUUUCCGCCCUUUAGUGCUGCAGCAAACGCAUUAAGCA
RNAcentral lists this ribosomal RNA (845 nucleotides) under Bacillus sp. (in: firmicutes). RNAcentral's name for it is "bacterial SSU rRNA". It matches the Rfam family "Bacterial small subunit ribosomal RNA", at positions 41 to 866 of the family's 1533-position model. The record is from RNAcentral. Lineage: Bacteria; Bacillati; Bacillota; Bacilli; Caryophanales; Bacillaceae.